RNAcentral lists this long non-coding RNA (1007 nucleotides) under Rattus norvegicus (Norway rat). RNAcentral's name for it is "long non-coding RNA NONRATT006679". Lineage: Eukaryota; Metazoa; Chordata; Mammalia; Rodentia; Muridae. The record is from RNAcentral.
GGUUUUUCUCUAUGAACCUGAAGAACUCGCCUUGCAGAUAGGAGGAAGGCAAAAGAAGAGAGAAAUCUUCAUCCUUCUGCUCAUUGGAUUAGGCCUUGCUGUCUCACUGGGUGCAACAGGAACCACUGGAGCAGCCCUUGUCCAAACACAACAUCUGGCCAGCAAUUUCCAGGACAAGCUUGACCAGCUGCGCAAGAAUCACUUCGUCAUCUGAGAGCUUCUGUCCUAAGAGCUGUCACACUGCCACUUGGGGAAGAGAUCUGCUCUCCCAAAAUCGCUGCCAGAAGCUCCCCUGCAUCCUUUGCCGGCUGCUCCAUCUCCUGAAACAGAAGCGGAACAACACCUACCCGAGUUCUCCUCCUUUCUCCUGGACCCACCAACCUAGCCAGACCAGAGAUCUCUGUGGAAAACCGCCGACACAGAGGCCCACAGAUGGAUUCCCAUCUUUCUGAGGAACUGCCACACUGAUUUCCACGGUGGCUGUGCAGGUUUGCAUCUCCAUCAGAAAUGGAUGAGUGGUCCCCUUCCUCUGCUUCCGUGGCAGCACGCACCAUCAUCUGUUUUAUUGAUCUUGGCCAUCUGGCUGGUAUGUGCACAGCUCUCAGUCCUCCCCAGAGAAGUUCCUCUUCACAAUGGUUCCUGUAGAGAUUCAUCAAAGCAGAGACUAAGUGACCUCGAGGUGCUCAGUCCUAAGAGGGACAAGUGUACCGCCCUCUCCAACGUUCAGAGAUCAUUAGGGUAGAGUGGGUGGAAAGAUCCAAAGAGUCAGAGUUUGUCAAAGGGGUACUGCUGUGAUAGUGUCUACUGGACAUAGCACCCUGCAUUCACUCAUGACCUCACUACGGCUGUGCUUGCCUGCACAAGACUGUGCCAUCAACAUUUCAGCACGGAAUGGACAAGGGCUCAUGAGGCUUAUCCUUCUGUGGGGGGUUAUCGGUUAGGAGAAAGGCAGUCACUUUCCUCAUUAUCUUAAAUACAGAAAAAACAACAGGCAUGUCCACGGAGCC